This is a long non-coding RNA of Etheostoma spectabile (orangethroat darter), 137 nucleotides long. RefSeq lists it as uncharacterized. Lineage: Eukaryota; Metazoa; Chordata; Actinopteri; Perciformes; Percidae. The transcript has 3 exons. The record is from RefSeq and is a predicted model, not a curated record.
GCAAACUACGGGUAUAUGCAGGGAAUGCAUACACCAGACUACCUGUAAUUCAAUGAAAUGCAGUAGCAAUACCUUUCUGUAGCUUAUAAUGUAUUCUUACGUGAGAGUUUUCCGUUCUGUCUAUCUAUACGUGGGGG